UCUGCCCUUGUUCCCGCCUCCAGGGCCUGCCUCCUGCCAAGGCCCCAGCAGUGCAGCAGGCUUCUGAGUUGGCCCAGAAGAGCCACCUUCCCUGCCCAUCAGGCCUUGAACAGAUACAAGGGACACCAGCUCAAGCCUGUCCCCAGAAUGUCCCCCUCAUGAGCUGGCCAGCCUCGUAGAACCAGGCCUGUGCGAGUGUCCAGGAGCACCAUGAAGCCUGAGGAGAAGCCAGCCACGACACUACGGCCACUGGGGCUGACUGCUAGGGAGCGGACAAGCCCAGGGUUCAGCCCGCCACCAAGGCGGAACUCGUGCUGCAGAGAGAAGAAGACUGUGCUGAGGAAUUCUCAGAAAAUGCUGAAGAUGUUUCUGAACUCCCAGACCUUCCUGCUUCCGUGGCCAGAUCAGACUCCCAUCCCCAAAGCGACAUCUUCUCUUCAUGCAGUAGCCCCUGACUAGAUGCCACUUCCCUCUGCUUGUCCCAACAUUACACCCUUCCCUUCUUUUCUUUUUCUUUUCCCUUCCCCUCUUUCACCAUAUUUUCUCUAUAUUUAUGCCAGUAAGUAAUUAAGCAAUGGUUUGCCAAACUUGUACUAGAUGCAUCAAGCCAAACCUUUAAGUGUGAUGUCUUCUAAACCACAUUUUCUGAUUCCCAUUUCACAGGUGGGAAAAUCCAUGUUUCCAACAGCAAAAUGAUUUGCUUGAGUUCACAAGCAAAUAAGGUGAUGGAGCUGAUGCAA
Molecule: long non-coding RNA, 740 nt
Organism: Sciurus carolinensis (gray squirrel)
Lineage: Eukaryota; Metazoa; Chordata; Mammalia; Rodentia; Sciuridae
Exons: 3
Source: RefSeq, a predicted model, not a curated record